Molecule: ribosomal RNA, 308 nt
Filed under: uncultured bacterium
Lineage: Bacteria
Description: partial 16S ribosomal RNA
Rfam family: Bacterial small subunit ribosomal RNA
Source: RNAcentral
GAGACAGCAGCAGCCGCGGGAAUACAGAGGGUGCGAGCGUUAAUCGGAUUUACUGGGCGUAAAGCGUGCGUAGGCGGCUUCUUAAGUCGGAUGUGAAAUCCCUGAGCUUAACUUAGGAAUUGCAUUCGAUACUGGGAAGCUAGAGUAUGGGAGAGGAUGGUAGAAUUCCAGGUGUAGCGGUGAAAUGCGUAGAGAUCUGGAGGAAUACCGAUGGCGAAGGCAAUCCCCUGGGCCUGUACUGACGCUCAUGCACGAAAGCGUGGGGAGCAAACAGGAUUAGAUACCCGCGUAGUCCCUGUCUCUUAUAC